UGCCAGCCGCCGCGGUAAUACGUAGGGAGCAAGCGUUGUUCGGAAUUACUGGGCAUAAAGCGCACGUAGGCGGCUCGGCUAGUCGGAUGUGAAAGCCCCUGGCUCAACCAGGGAAUUGCAUUCGAUACUACCGGACUUGAGGGCGGCAGAGGAGAGUGGAACUCGUGGUGGAGCGGUGAAAUGCGUAGAUAUCACGAGGAACACCGGUGGCGAAAGCGACUCUCUGGGCCGUUCCUGACGCUGAGGUGCGAAAGCCAGGGGAGCGAACGGGAUUAGAUA
RNAcentral lists this ribosomal RNA (279 nucleotides) under uncultured bacterium. RNAcentral describes it as "partial 16S ribosomal RNA". It matches the Rfam family "Bacterial small subunit ribosomal RNA", at positions 506 to 784 of the family's 1533-position model. The record is from RNAcentral.